RNAcentral lists this ribosomal RNA (499 nucleotides) under uncultured bacterium. Its description in RNAcentral is "bacterial SSU rRNA". It matches the Rfam family "Bacterial small subunit ribosomal RNA", at positions 29 to 517 of the family's 1533-position model. The record is from RNAcentral.
AACGAACGCUGGCGGCGUGGAUAAGACAUGCAAGUCGAACGGGAUCAUUGAGGUAGCAAUAUCGCGAUGGUCUAGUGGCGAACGGGUGCGUAACACGUGGAUACAUUCCGGGAAGCGGGGGAUAGCCCAGGGAAACUUGGAUUAAUACCGCAUGUGGUCGAAAGACUAAAGGCAGGGACCGCAAGGCCUGCCACUUCCCGAUUGGUCCGCGGCCUAUCAGCUAGUUGGCGGGGUAAAAGCCCACCAAGGCUACGACGGGUAGCUGGUCUUAGAGGACGACCAGCCACACUGGAACUGAGACACGGUCCAGACACCUACGGGUGGCAGCAGUCGAGAAUCUUUCACAAUGGGGGCAACCCUGAUGGAGCGACGCCGCGUGGAGGAUAAGGUCUUCGGAUUGUAAACUCCUGUCAUGUGUGAACAAGGCUGCCGUGUUAAUAGCAUGGCAGAUUGAUGGUAACACAAGAGGAAGAGACGGCUAACUCUGUGCCAGCAGCCG